UACGUAGGGUCCGAGCGUUGUCCGGAAUUACUGGGCGUAAAGAGCUCGUAGGUGGUUUGUCGCGUUGUUCGUGAAAACUCACAGCUCAACUGUGGGCGUGCGGGCGAUACGGGCAGACUAGAGUACUGCAGGGGAGACUGGAAUUCCUGGUGUAGCGGUGGAAUGCGCAGAUAUCAGGAGGAACACCGGUGGCGAAAGCGCUCAUCUGGCCCAAUACUGACGCUGAAGCACGAAAGCUAGGGGAGCAAACGGG
Molecule: ribosomal RNA, 253 nt
Filed under: uncultured bacterium
Lineage: Bacteria
Description: partial 16S ribosomal RNA
Rfam family: Bacterial small subunit ribosomal RNA
Source: RNAcentral